Molecule: ribosomal RNA, 253 nt
Filed under: uncultured bacterium
Lineage: Bacteria
Description: partial 16S ribosomal RNA
Rfam family: Bacterial small subunit ribosomal RNA
Source: RNAcentral
UACGUAGGGUGCGAGCGUUAAUCGGAAUUACUGGGCGUAAAGCGUGCGCAGGCGGUUUUGUAAGACAGAGGUGAAAUCCCCGGGCUUAACCUGGGAACUGCCUUUGUGACUGCAAGGCUUGAGUGCGGCAGAGGGGGAUGGAAUUCCGCGUGUAGCAGUGAAAUGCGUAGAUAUGCGGAGGAACACCGAUGGCGAAGGCAAUCCCCUGGGCCUGCACUGACACUCAUGCACGAAAGCGUGGGGAGCAAACAGG